Molecule: ribosomal RNA, 461 nt
Filed under: uncultured bacterium
Lineage: Bacteria
Description: partial 16S ribosomal RNA
Rfam family: Bacterial small subunit ribosomal RNA
Source: RNAcentral
ACGAACGCUGGCGGCGUGCUUAACACAUGCAAGUCGAGCGGAAAGGCCCUUCGGGGUACUCGAGCGGCGAACGGGUGAGUAACACGUGAGUAACCUGCCCUAGACUUUGGGAUAACCCUCGGAAACGGGGGCUAAUACCGGAUACUCCUUCUAAAUCGCAUGAUCUGGUUGGGAAAGUUUUUCGGUCUGGGAUGGACUCGCGGCCUAUCAGCUUGUUGGUGGGGUAAUGGCCUACCAAGGCGAGGACGGGUAGCCGGCCUGAGAGGGCGACCGGCCACACUGGGACUGAGACACGGCCCAGACUCCUACGGGAGGCAGCAGUGGGGAAUAUUGCACAAUGGGCGGAAGCCUGAUGCAGCGACGCCGCGUGAGGGAUGACGGCCUUCGGGUUGUAAACCUCUUUCAGCAGGGACGAAGCGUAAGUGACGGUACCUGCAGAAGAAGCGCCGGCCAACUACGUG